Molecule: long non-coding RNA, 824 nt
Filed under: Olea europaea subsp. europaea
Lineage: Eukaryota; Viridiplantae; Streptophyta; Magnoliopsida; Lamiales; Oleaceae
Source: RNAcentral
CCCAACCUUUAGAUCCCAAAGUCAUGGGUAAUCCAACAAUAUCUUCAAGGGUGAUAACCCUGCCACCAAAUCCUUGGAGGAGUGUUUUAAUAGGCUUGAGUUGCUCCACUAAGAUACCUAUCUAAACAAAAGCUUCAUGAGACAGUACAUUAGCUGCACUUCCGUUAUCCACAAGAAUUCUCUUGACCUCGAAGUUAGCUAUGAUAGCUGAUAUGACUAGGGUGUCAUCAUGGGGGAAGGAUAUUCCUUCCAAAUCCUUGGACCCGAAGGUGAUAUCUUUCGUAUGAGCAAGAUCCGUAUUGGAAGAGGCUGGAAGCUGUCUAGCAUACUGCUUACGUCCACUGUUGGUGUCUCCUCCUGAAGCUGUUCCUCCGAUAAUAACGUUAAUAGUGCCUGCCAUUGGUGGUUCACCACCACGCUCUUCCUGUAUGUUAUUCUGCUUGUUCCUAGGGCGUUUUUCAUGGCCAGUGUAAGAGCCCAAAAAACCCCUCCUGAUGAGAGCCCCAAUUUGUUGCUUCAGAGCCAAACAACCCUCAGUGGUAUGUCCGUGGUCCCGGUGGAAGUCACAGUACUUGGUUCUAUCUCUGUUUUCAGGUAAUGAUCACAUUCUGGAAGGCCACUUAAGUUCUUUGAGAUCCUUGAUCUCCAUCAGGAUGUUGGACCUUGAUGUAUUCAAGGGAGUAAAGGUUUCUUGUCGGGGGUUUUAUCUUGGCUUGAUCCGAGGAUUGUCGUCUCGUUGAUUGGGUUCACGCUGUCUCUUAUUAUCAGCCCUAAGUAAAGGUGAAACGUCAUUUCUUGGGGUUAGAGUUUCUUCCAUAUUGAUG